UUCCUACGGGAGGCAGCAGUGAGGAAUAUUGGUCAAUGGGAGAGAUCCUGAACCAGCCAAGCCGCGUGAGGGAAGACGGCCCUAUGGGUUGUAAACCUCUUUUGUCGGAGAACAAAACCCGGGACGAGUCCCGGACUGCGUGUAUCCGAAGAAAAAGCAUCGGCUAACUCCGUGCCAGCAGCCGCGGUAAUACGGAGGAUGCGAGCGUUAUCCGGAUUUAUUGGGUUUAAAGGGUGCGUAGGCGGUUCGUUAAGUCAGCGGUAAAAUUGCGGGGCUCAACCCCGUCGCGCCGUUGAAACUGGCAG
RNAcentral lists this ribosomal RNA (305 nucleotides) under uncultured bacterium. Its description in RNAcentral is "bacterial SSU rRNA". It matches the Rfam family "Bacterial small subunit ribosomal RNA", at positions 336 to 639 of the family's 1533-position model. The record is from RNAcentral.